RNAcentral lists this ribosomal RNA (274 nucleotides) under uncultured bacterium. Its description in RNAcentral is "partial 16S ribosomal RNA". The record is from RNAcentral.
CUGCUGCCUCCCGUAGGAGUCUGGUCCGUGUCUCAGUACCAGUGUGGGGGACCUUCCUCUCAGAACCCCUACGCAUCGUCGCCUCGGUGGGCCGUUACCCCGCCGACUAGCUAAUGCGCCGCAUGCCCAUCCCCCGCCGGAAUCGCUUCCUUUGGCCGCAGACCCAUGCAGGUCCGCGGCGUUACGCGGUAUUAGUCGGGAUUUCUCCCGGUUAUCCCCCUGCGGGGGGCAGGUCGCAUACGUGUUACUCACCCCGUGCGCCCGGUCGCCGGCA